CCUACGGGAGGCAGCAGUGGGGAAUAUUGCACAAUGGGGGAAACCCUGAUGCAGCGACGCCGCGUGAGUGAAGAAGUAUUUCGGUAUGUAAAGCCCUAUCAGCAGGGAAGAAAAUGAUGGUACCUGAUUAAGAAGCCCCGGCUAACUACGUGCCAGCAGCCGCGGUAAUACGUAGGGGGCAAGCGUUAUCCGGAUUUACUGGGUGUAAAGGGAGCGUAGACGGCAGCACAAGUCUGGAGUGAAAUGCCGGGGCUUAACCCCGGAACUGCUUUGGAAACUGUGCAGCUAGAGUGCAGGAGAGGUAGGUGGAAUGCCUGGUGUAGCGGUGAAAUGCGUAGAUAUUGGGAGGAACGCCAGUGGCGAAGGCAGCUUGCUGGACUGUAACUGACGUUGAGGCUCGAAAGCGUGGGGAGCGAACAGGAUUAGAUACCCUUGUAGUC
Molecule: ribosomal RNA, 440 nt
Filed under: uncultured bacterium
Lineage: Bacteria
Description: partial 16S ribosomal RNA
Rfam family: Bacterial small subunit ribosomal RNA
Source: RNAcentral